RNAcentral lists this ribosomal RNA (2878 nucleotides) under Thiomonas bhubaneswarensis. RNAcentral's name for it is "bacterial LSU rRNA". It matches the Rfam family "Bacterial large subunit ribosomal RNA". Lineage: Bacteria; Pseudomonadati; Pseudomonadota; Betaproteobacteria; Burkholderiales. The record is from RNAcentral.
UAGGAUCAAGCGACUAAGUGCAUACGGUGGAUGCCUUGGCGACUACAGGCGAUGAAGGACGUUGUAGCCUGCGAUAAGCUGCGGCGAGCUGGCAAACAAGCUUUGACCCGCAGAUUUCCGAAUGGGGAAACCCACCCGCAAGGGUAUCUUUGACUGAAUACAUAGGUCAUCGAAGCGAACCGGGCGAACUGAAACAUCUCAGUAACUCGAGGAAAAGAAAUCAACCGAGAUUCCGAUAGUAGUGGCGAGCGAAAUCGGAACAGCCUGCAUAAUUUAGCAUUUGGUAUAGCAAAACGACAUGGAAAGGUCGGCCAUAGAAGGUGAUAGCCCUGUAUGUAAAAUGCCAUUUGUGGAACUAGGUAUGCGAAAAGUAGGGCGGGACACGUGUAAUCCUGUCUGAAGAUGGGGGGACCAUCCUCCAAGGCUAAAUACUCGUAGUCGACCGAUAGUGAACAAGUACCGUGAGGGAAAGGUGAAAAGAACCCCGGGAGGGGAGUGAAAUAGAUCCUGAAACCGUAUGCAUACAAAAAGUCGGAGCCCUACGGGGUGACGGCGUACCUUUUGUAUAAUGGGUCAGCGACUUACAUUCAGUGGCAAGCUUAACCGAAUAGGGAAGGCGCAGGGAAACCGAGUCCGAACAGGGCGACUAGUCGCUGGGUGUAGACCCGAAACCGGAUGAUCUAUCCAUGGCCAGGAUGAAGGUGCGGUAACACGUACUGGAGGUCCGAACCGACUAGUGUUGCAAAACUAGCGGAUGAGCUGUGGAUAGGGGUGAAAGGCUAAACAAAUCCGGAAAUAGCUGGUUCUCCUCGAAAACUAUUUAGGUAGUGCCUCGCGUAUCACCGCCAGGGGUAGAGCACUGUUUUGGCUAGGGGGUCAUGACGACUUACCAAACCAAUGCAAACUCCGAAUACUGGUGAGUGCAGCGCGGGAGACAGUGCACCGGGUGCUAACGUCCGGACACAAGAGGGAAACAACCCAGACCGCCAGCUAAGGUCCCUAAAUAUAGCUAAGUGGGAAACGAAGUGGGAAGGCAUUGACAGUCAGGAGGUUGGCUUAGAAGCAGCCACCCUUUAAAGAAAGCGUAAUAGCUCACUGAUCGAGUCGUCCUGCGCGGAAGAUGUAACGGGGCUAAGCUAUAUACCGAAGCUGCGGAUGUGCGUAAGCACGUGGUAGAGGAGCGUUCUGUAAGCCUGUGAAGGUGUGCUGAGAGGCAUGCUGGAGGUAUCAGAAGUGCGAAUGCUGACAUGAGUAGCGUUAAAAGAGGUGAAAAGCCUCUUCGCCGAAAGCGCAAGGUUUCCUACGCAACGUUCAUCGGCGUAGGGUGAGUCGGCCCCUAAGGCGAGGCAGAGAUGCGUAGUCGAUGGGAAACAGGUCAAUAUUCCUGUACCGAUGUCUAGUGCGAUGUGGGGACGGAGAAGGUUAAAUCAGCCGGGUGUUGGAUGUCCCGGUUCAAGUGUGUAGGCGUGCCCCUUAGGCAAAUCCGGGGGGCUUAGCUGAGGCAUGAUAACGAGGCAGCUUGCUGCCGAAGUGAUUGAUACCCUGCUUCCAAGAAAAGCCACUAAGCUUCAGCUAGACGCGACCGUACCGCAAACCGACACUGGUGCGCGAGAUGAGUAUUCUAAGGCGCUUGAGAGAACUCGGGAGAAGGAACUCGGCAAAUUUGUACCGUAACUUCGGGAUAAGGUACGCCCCCGGUAUGUAACGCCGUACAGGCUGAGCAGAAAGGGGCCGCAGUGAAAAGGUGGCUGCGACUGUUUAUUAAAAACACAGCACUCUGCAAACACGAAAGUGGACGUAUAGGGUGUGACGCCUGCCCGGUGCCGGAAGGUUAAGUGAUGGGGUGCAAGCUCUUGAUCGAAGCCCCGGUAAACGGCGGCCGUAACUAUAACGGUCCUAAGGUAGCGAAAUUCCUUGUCGGGUAAGUUCCGACCUGCACGAAUGGCGUAACGAUGGCCACACUGUCUCCUCCCGAGACUCAGCGAAGUUGAAAUGUUUGUGAUGAUGCAAUCUCCCCGCGGAAAGACGGAAAGACCCCAUGAACCUUUACUGUAGCUUUGCAUUGGAUUUUGAACAGAUCUGUGUAGGAUAGGUGGGAGGCUUUGAAGCGGUGCCGCCAGGUGCCGUGGAGCCAACCUUGAAAUACCACCCUGAUGUGUUUGAGGUUCUAACCCUGGACCGUGAAUCCGGUUCGGAGACAGUGCAUGGUGGGCAGUUUGACUGGGGCGGUCUCCUCCCAAAGCGUAACGGAGGAGUUCGAAGGUACGCUAGGCACGGUCGGAAAUCGUGCUGAUAGUGCAAUGGCAUAAGCGUGCUUAACUGCGAGACUGACAAGUCGAGCAGAUGCGAAAGCAGGACAUAGUGAUCCGGUGGUUCUGUAUGGAAGGGCCAUCGCUCAACGGAUAAAAGGUACUCUGGGGAUAACAGGCUGAUACCGCCCAAGAGUUCAUAUCGACGGCGGUGUUUGGCACCUCGAUGUCGGCUCAUCUCAUCCUGGGGCUGUAGCCGGUCCCAAGGGUAUGGCUGUUCGCCAUUUAAAGAGGUACGUGAGCUGGGUUUAAAACGUCGUGAGACAGUUUGGUCCCUAUCUUCCGUGGGCGUUGGAGGCUUGAGAGGGGCUGCUCCUAGUACGAGAGGACCGGAGUGGACGAACCUCUGGUGUACCGGUUGUCACGCCAGUGGCAUCGCCGGGUAGCUAAGUUCGGAAGAGAUAACCGCUGAAAGCAUAUAAGCGGGAAACUUGCCUCAAGAUUAGGCCUCCCUGGAGACUCGAUCUCCCUAAAGGGUCGUUGAAGACGACAACGUUGAUAGGCUGGGUGUGGAAGCGCAGUAAUGUGUUGAGCUAACCAGUACUAAUUGCCCGUGCGGCUUGAUCCUA